GCGAGUGAAGAGGAAGAGCUCAAAGUUGGAACCUGUUUGGCCUAGCUAAACCGGAUUGUAGACUGUAGAAGUGUUUUCCAGGCAAGCCGAGUAAAUAAGUCCUUUGGAACAGGGCAUCAUAGAGGGUGAGAAUCCCGUCUUUGGCUUGAGCAUUUGCCUUUUGUGAUACGCUUUCAAAGAGUCAGGUUGUUUGGGAAUGCAGCCUAAAUUGGGUGGUAAAUCUCACCUAAAGCUAAAUAUUGGCGAGAAACCGAUAGCGAACAAGUACCGUGAGGGAAAGAUGAAAAGAACUUUGAAAAGAGAGUUAAACAGUAUGUGAAAUUGUUAAAAGGGAACCGUUUGGAGCCAGACUGGCUUGUCUGUAAUCAAUCUAGGCUUCGGCCUGGAUGCACUUGCAGGCUAUGCCUGCCAACGACAAUUUGACUUGAGGGAAAAAACUAGGGGAAAUGUGGCCCACUUGUGGGUGUUAUAGUCCCUUAGAAAAUACCUUGGGUUGGAUUGAGGAACGCAGCGAAUGCUUAUUGGCGAGUUUUCCAGGAAGGUUUUCUGAGGUACUACGGUAUCAAGGUUGAUCUUUUUGGUUAUACUUCUAUUCGCUUAGGUUGUUGGCU
Molecule: ribosomal RNA, 611 nt
Filed under: Rhizopus arrhizus
Lineage: Eukaryota; Fungi; Mucoromycota; Mucoromycetes; Mucorales; Rhizopodaceae
Description: Rhizopus oryzae partial large subunit ribosomal RNA
Rfam family: Eukaryotic large subunit ribosomal RNA
Source: RNAcentral